Molecule: non-coding RNA, 24 nt
Filed under: Arabidopsis thaliana (thale cress)
Lineage: Eukaryota; Viridiplantae; Streptophyta; Magnoliopsida; Brassicales; Brassicaceae
Source: RNAcentral
UAGCAACUCUUGAGCUUCCUGCCU